UCAAUAAGCGGAGGAAAAGAAACUAACAAGGAUUCCCCUAGUAACGGCGAGUGAAGAGGGAAGAGCUCAAAUUUUAAAUCUGGCGUCUUUGGCGUCCGAAUUGUAAUCUAGAGAAGUGUUUUCCGUGACGGACCGUGCACAAGUCUCCUGGAAUGGAGCGUCAUAGAGGGUGAGAAUCCCGUAUAUGGCAUGGACUGCCGUUGCUCUGUGAYACACUCUCGACGAGUCGAGUUGUUUGGGAAUGCAGCUCUAAAUGGGUGGUAAAUGCCAUCUAAAGCUAAAUAUUGGCGAGAGACCGAUAGCGAACAAGUACCGUGAGGGAAAGAUGAAAAGCACUUUGGAAAGAGAGUGAAACAGUACGUGAAAUUGUUGAAAGGGAAACGCUUGAAGUCAGUCGCGCCGUUCAGGAUUCAGCCUUGCUUUUGCUCGGUUUACUUCCUGUUGGGUGGGUCAACAUCAGUUUUGGUCGGAGGAGAAAGGCUUGGGGAAUGUGGCAGCAUUCGUGCUGUGUUAUAGCCCCUUGUUGUAUACUUCGGCUGGGACUGACGACCGCAGCACGCCUUUGGCCGGGGUUCGCCCACSUACGUGCUUAGGA
This 595-nucleotide ribosomal RNA is filed under the name Sebacina dimitica. RNAcentral's name for it is "eukaryotic LSU rRNA". It matches the Rfam family "Eukaryotic large subunit ribosomal RNA", at positions 43 to 618 of the family's 3401-position model. The record is from RNAcentral. Lineage: Eukaryota; Fungi; Basidiomycota; Agaricomycetes; Sebacinales; Sebacinaceae.